GAUUUCAACUAAAAAAGUCAUCAACAACAAAGUUGUAUAACUCAUUAAGAUCUAUAACUUUUAUUUUUGUUAUUUCUUCAUCCGACAAAGUGUUAGUAAUAUUGUUCACAAAAUUGACAUAUCUGUGUUAUAGUUUAUAAAACCAGAUGAGAGGUAUGUGAAUUUUAUGAACAAUGUUACUAUCACUUUAUCGGAUAAAGAAAUAACCAAAAUAAAAGUUAUAGAUCUUGAUGAGUUAUACAACUUUGUUGUUCAUGACUUUUUCAGUUGAAAUC
Molecule: microRNA precursor, 275 nt
Filed under: Oryza glumipatula
Lineage: Eukaryota; Viridiplantae; Streptophyta; Magnoliopsida; Poales; Poaceae
Description: MIR821 microRNA precursor family
Rfam family: MIR821 microRNA precursor family
Source: Rfam by way of RNAcentral